Molecule: non-coding RNA, 3671 nt
Organism: Peromyscus maniculatus bairdii (prairie deer mouse)
Lineage: Eukaryota; Metazoa; Chordata; Mammalia; Rodentia; Cricetidae
Source: RefSeq, a predicted model, not a curated record
CCGGUUCAUCUAAGCACUGGGAAUUCUAAAGUACAGCCAAGACUGAGCCGUCUUGCUCUACGGAGACAGCAAGUUGGGAGGCCUAGAGUCCAGUGUGUGUAACAGCAGUGUCUUCCAACUUCUUCACUGGCCGAACAUGGCCUUCAGAACAGCUCUCCUGUCUAGCUGCGGAACCUUGAGUGAGUCGCACAGCUUUCCCGUGAAAGGCUUCAGUGUGUUUAAACUCCCUGGACAGUCCCUGCCAUCAGCCUUCUCCUUAACCUCUGCUAAACAAAGCCAAAGAAUUCGAGUGAGGACGGGCUUUAGAAUUCUAUCAUGCUGGAGCCUAAAGACAAGGCAGUGCUUGGGAGGCCCUUGGGCGUCGCUUGCUGAGAACAAUCCUGGGAAAUGACCCAUGUGAGAUGGAAGCCCAAAUGUGUUUCCUGAUGUCUCUCGACUCAACAACAUGCUAACACUAAAUACGCAGGUGCCACUUCCUCAUGCACCAGGUCCAAACUCCCAAACCCAUAUGUUGGCCUCUCCCAACCUUUUACCUGGAAUGGGAAAGCAACUGUUUCCUCAUGGGAAUGAUCUGCUGGGGUAUUACAGACUAGAGGCUGCCAGAAUGUGGGGCAAGUCUACCUCUUUACAAGCCAGAAGGACUUGUAGGCCUGGUGCUGGAUUGUAAAUGUAUCACCUCCCCCGUGGGGCUCAGCCAGAAGGUCUGGUGCUCAUGGGCACCAAGCCCAUCUUGGUCAUGGGAAUCCGACCUAUGAAGACACUGGCCAGAGGACAAGGCCCUGGGCUCAAAGCGAGUUGGCGCGUUGCUCUAGGAGGCCUGGCCCCUGGUCGUCCUGGGAAGUGUGAGGGCUUAGCUCCUAAAUGAGAUUGCUGGUGUUGACAGCCGGAGGCCAGGGAUCUGGGGCCACUUGCUAUCUGGGAGCCAGUGGUCCUGGUGUAUAAGAGGCACCCUCUCCAAGAUGGGGGCUCUGGAUUCUGUAGAUACCCACUUAGCCCCCCCCGAGGGCUCCUGGAGUGUCAGACCCGUCUCAUGGCACCGGUGGGCUUAUCAGGUUGAAUUGAGUGCUUCUGGAGUGUGGACAGGGCCAGAGGAAGGCCAGCAGCUCCGGGCUUCCUGCCAGGCAGCUCAGGGCCCAGAAGAGCCUAGGAGUCACGAGAUACUUGCUCUCACCCUGCAACCAGCUCCAGUCUGCUGGGUCAGGGUGCACACUUGGAGCCAGGCAGGCUGAGCGCCCAGGUAAGUGAGUACUGUGGGCAAGGGGCUGGGUUCCUUGGACUUGGGCCUUCUUACCCUUGCAGCAGGGUAACGAAGCCACCUCCUUCCUUCUUGCUGCAAGGCUGGCUUAGAAAAGUCCCGAGGGAUGCACCAUCAUUUCAAGGGAGAGGAGAGAAGAAAGGAAAGAGAGGGGAGGAGAGAGAGAGAAGGCCAAGCUGUUUUACAUUGCCUGAGCUUCCUGCUCUAGCCAGAUAUCACAAUUAAAUACUAUUGACCCAGCACCGCCAAACUUGCUGGCUCCGACUUGAAUUUCUGUUCUGUUUUCAAAUCCAGAACUGAAGAACACAUCUCCUUGAACACUGUGUCUUUUAGCCCAGUCCUCUUGGCCUGUGAGCUUCAAGCUUGGAUCUAGCCCAGGAUUGCCAAGGUCAAGUGACGAUUUCCUUGACUCCAGAAGAGAACACUCGAGGAGAGGAAGCAGAAGGCUGCAAAGGACCAGGUGUGGUGGAAAGGGAAAGCCUCCAGGAGAGCGCUUCCUGUCCUUCAGCUAGCUCCUGCUCUCUCUGCCCUCUUCUGUGUGUGUGCACAAUCGUAUCUGCAUCACAUGCCUAGGUGCCGCCCGCGGUAGUUCACACAGCCUCAGUGGGGGAGCAUUUCUGCAUCUGGCCACAGCGAAAACUAAAUGGAGAGCCAGGAUGAGAGAACGGACGGAUGGAGACAGAAGGAACCGUGUUGGAGAAGGUACAGUAUAAUGGAAGGCGGCACACUGCGUCCUUUACCUAUGUGCCACUCACUGGGGUGCGGACGGAAACAGCAGGGGGGUCCAGAGAGAUGGAACUCAUCCCCCUGGGUAGAACCAGAUAGAGACAGCCCACCCAGGACACAGUGCCUGCUUUCCAGUCACACAGGGGCUUCCAUCUUGGGCUGAGAUGGCUUUUUAAAGGGGCUGAAAACGGAGAGCGUUGACAAUUACCCAGGUAUUUUGAUCACCAAGGACCCUGAAACCAGAUAAACAGUCUUUUCUUUUCUUUCUUUUUAAACUGCCACAGCAAUAGCAGCCCCUGUAACUUGAGCUCAUGCUGAAUCACACUGUAAGGAUUCCACUGCCCGUGUCCCCUUGACCGUCCACAACAACACUACAUCAUAGCCUCAUAGGAUAAGAAAAGCGAGGCGCUGGGCCAUUAAGGAAGUUGCACAGCUCAUCUUGCCGGGAGCUGGGGGUUUCCAUAUCCACCUCCACAAUGCAAUAGCCAGGCCAGGAGAGAGUUCAGAGCUCUGAAUUGGAGGCUCCGAGUCUCGAUCGGGACUGGCUUGGGAAAUGUUGCAGACGGUUCUUUUAAAAGGGAGAAACAGUCCAAAUCACAGCAGUCAAAGAGGUCAUUAGUCAAGUCUCUACAGAUGCAAAGUCUUUAUAUAUAUAUAGUUUGGGUGACUUGCCUCAGGCGAUAGAAGUACGCCUUGGGUAGUACGGCCCCAAGGGAAAGAGAGGAAGGAUAAUGGCUUCAAAUUGUGGGGUGCUACCUGCCAGGAGUGGUCAGUCACUGGGGUCACUAACUGAGCAAUAACCAGAAGUUUCAAAGAAAUGAAAUAUAAUCAAAGAGUAAAUAGAGCUAUGCGUGCCCAUAUUUCCUGGUUCUUUUCAGUUGCGUGUGUCUACGCCUACGAACCCUGUGUGUAAAUGUCUCUGGGCCACCACAAUAGCCUUAAAAUGCCGCUGGACUAGGGAAUGAGCACGGGGGAGGAAGACCUCGGGGGAGUGACAGGAAGCUUGGGCAAAAUCCAACAUUUGCUCCUUGAUGCUAGCAAAACCGUUUUGAAAUAACCACUGGACCUAUUUUUAGGGCUACCAAAAUUACCUCCUACUUUGAUCUCUAGCAUCGACCAGGAUGGCUCCUCCACAGGCUGGACGCUCCUCACUAGCACAUGCUAUUCCCGUGGGCCAGACAGAGGCCCAGGGAAGCCAUCACACCGGAAAGAGGCAAGAGCCAGCAGCAGAAAUGGGUGAAAAUAACAGUGGAUCCUGAGAUCUAGUUCUGGUUACCGCUUAGAGGACAGCCUACUUAAACAAAGAAGUGAGCGGUCAGACAAUGCUGCCGGCCAGAGAUGAAACAAAUGUUCAAGCAGCUUGACUCUGAGACAGUUCAUGCUGUGCACAACCCCCCCACCCCCCCCCACACACACACCCUCUGCAUCAGAUUUUCAUGAGAAGGAAGUCUCAGAAAGAAAUUCCCCAGAGAGAUUCGGGGAAGCUAUGAAGCAUUGCCCUGAGCUCCCUUGCAGCUGAAGACACAUCAGAACCAUCUGGAAAGCCCAGGGCCCAAUGAGUGAGACAUACCUGCGUUCUAAUCCCAGGUAUCCUCUUUAAAACUGUGUGUGGGAUAGUUUCAUGUCAACUCGACACAAGCGAACGUCAUCUGAGAGGAGGGAACCUCAAUUCAGAAAAUGCCUCCAUAAG